ACUUGAUGUACACGGUUGUACACUGUGGACUGACUGUCAAUUCUUGGAAUUUUGCGAGAGAGGUCAUUUCUUGGAAAUCGAACAUGCCAUCAUUUCUAUUGUAGGGGUGACAGGAUGUAGAAAAAGGUUUUAUAAUGCUAGACGAAUAUAUUUCUACAACAAACUUUUUGAAUUAACAUUCUAUAAUACAUUUAACAUGUGUAAGUGUUAUUAGUUAGUUAGCAAUUACCCCCAGUAAACAAUAAUAACAUCAAAAUAAAUGCCUCUCCACCCCGAACUUGGAUGUGGCAGAACUUGACCUACUUCACGGUUACUCACACCUCGCAGCUGUCAAUGGCUGACAAUCUUGUGUUAACAUUCUCCGUUGCUGGUUAAAUUAAGCAAGAUGACAACCCCGAUCUAUGAUGUGGUUCAACAUUAACCUGUAGAUUUACCGGGAAUGAUCAAGCCUGCUGAUGACUACCAAUGGAACUGAGUAUGACUGAACAGCCGUUUUUUAGCCUGCAGACGAGCCGGACAUUUUUACACCAGGUUGGGCCUAUCUCAGUAUCUGCAUGGUGUGACCUCCAAUUUCAAGAUUUCAUGGAUUCUAAGCCAGAGUGUACGAUUUUCUUAAUUGUGCGUGUUCUGAAAUGAAUUUCAUCAAGUUUGACUUCAAUGAUGUCGGGACAUUGUUGUCGUGGCUUUUCGAAUGGACAAGUUGAGUGAUGGACUUUCAAAUUCUCUUCUGCGAAAUCCUUACGAUGGUGGUUGACGGAGAUAGCGACGAAUAUUGAUCACAAAAAGGUUCUCCACAGCUGCGAUGACGUCAUCAUGCAAGUUGAAAUGUGUCCCAGGUAGAGCUUUUUUCAUGUUUGGAAACAGAUGGAAGUCUGAUGAAGCCAGACCAGAAGAACAAGUCACCUAGAGCUGGCUGGGACCAGAGGGUGGUCAUUCUUGGAUGUCAGAUGUACUCAACUCUUGCAUGGACCAACACUAGACAGCGGGUGAUACUUGGACGUCAGAUGUACUCAACUCUUGCAUGGACCAACACCAGAUGGGGUGAUACUUGGAUGUCAGAUGUACUCAACUCUUGCAUGGACCAACACUAGACAGGGGGUGAUACUUGGAUGUCAGAUGUACUCAACUCUUGCAUGGACCAACACCAGAUGGGGUGAUACUUGGAUGUCAGAUGUACUCAACUCUUGCAUGGACCAACACUAGAUGGGGUGAUACUUGGAUGUCAGAUGUACUCAACUUUUGCAUGGACCAACACCAGAUGGGGUGAUACUUGGAUGUCAGAUGUACUCAACUCUUGCAUGGACCAACACCAGAUGGGGUGAUACUUGGAUGUCAGAUGUACUCAACUCUUGCAUGGACCAACACUAGACAGAGGGUGAUACUUGGAUGUCAGAUGUACUCAACUCUUGCAUGGACCAACACUAGAAAGAGGGUGAUACUUGGAUGUCAGAUGUACUCAACUCUUGCAUGGACCAACACUAGAAAGAGGGUGAUACUUGGAUGUCAGAUGUACUCAACUCUUGCAUGGACCAACACUAGAAAGAGGGUGAUACUUGGAUGUCAGAUGUACUCAACUCUUGCAUGGACCAACACUAGACAGAGGGUGAUACUUGGAUGUCAGAUGUACUCAACUCUUGCAUGGACCAACACUAGAAAGAGGGUGAUACUUGGAUGUCAGAUGUACUCAACUCUUGCAUGGACCAACACUAGACAGAGGGUGAUACUUGGAUGUCAGAUGUACUCAACUCUUGCAUGGACCAACACUAGAAAGAGGGUGAUACUUGGAUGUCAGAUGUACUCAACUCUUGCAUGGACCAACACUAGAAAGAGGGUGAUACUUGGAUGUCAGAUGUACUCAACUCUUGCAUGGACCAACACUAGAAAGAGGGUGAUACUUGGAUGUCAGAUGUACUCAACUCUUGCAUGGACCAACACCAGAUGGGGUGAUACUUGGAUGUCAGAUGUACUCAACUCUUGCAUGGACCAACACCAGAUGGGGUGAUACUUGGAUGUCAGAUGUACUCAACUCUUGCAUGGACCAACACCAGAUGGGGUGAUACUUGGAUGUCAGAUGUUGAUGUAUAAAAAAAAUUAUGUGGUCCUUGUGGGAACCUAACAGUGGUCGAGCUGUUUCAGCAACGGUAAACUGAUGAUCAGUAUAGCCCGUGCAAUCCAUUUGUUCCGUGCUGUCCGUGCAGGGACCAUAUGGUGGUAGAGCUGUAAUGGCUGCCAUAGACUGAUGAUCAGUGCAGCCCGAGCGGUCCAUAUGUGGUUGCUUACCUGCUGGUUUAACCAGACG
This is a long non-coding RNA of Haliotis rufescens (red abalone), 2299 nucleotides long. RefSeq lists it as uncharacterized. The transcript is spliced from 4 exons. The record is from RefSeq and is a predicted model, not a curated record. Lineage: Eukaryota; Metazoa; Mollusca; Gastropoda; Lepetellida; Haliotidae.